RNAcentral lists this ribosomal RNA (295 nucleotides) under Salmonella enterica. RNAcentral describes it as "partial 16S ribosomal RNA". It matches the Rfam family "Bacterial small subunit ribosomal RNA", at positions 1 to 292 of the family's 1533-position model. RNAcentral also lists the same sequence under 1 other name. Lineage: Bacteria; Pseudomonadati; Pseudomonadota; Gammaproteobacteria; Enterobacterales; Enterobacteriaceae. The record is from RNAcentral.
AAAUUGAAGAGUUUGAUCAUGGCUCAGAUUGAACGCUGGCGGCAGGCCUAACACAUGCAAGUCGAACGGUAACAGGAAGCAGCUUGCUGCUUCGCUGACGAGUGGCGGACGGGUGAGUAAUGUCUGGGAAACUGCCUGAUGGAGGGGGAUAACUACUGGAAACGGUGGCUAAUACCGCAUAACGUCGCAAGACCAAAGAGGGGGACCUUCGGGCCUCUUGCCAUCAGAUGUGCCCAGAUGGGAUUAGCUUGUUGGUGAGGUAACGGCUCACCAAGGCGACGAUCCCUAGCUGGUC